GGGGGACAGUGUGGCCAAGAGUUAGUGAUUGUUGAAACUGGGUGAAGACACUUGUACAUUACAACCCGGCAUCAACACUUCGACCGUGGUGCACUGUGACGAUCAUGAACGAGACUGGUUGGCAGAACAGUGGCCACCCUCAGCAAAGGGCUGAAGUGGUAUUUAUCCUACCUUCCACCUUCCAGUCAAACAGAAGUUCAAGAAGCUGGGACUAGAGGCCUAAGAAGCCAGAUUGUGGUCAAGAAGGAACAGCCUUAUCCGAAUUAUACGAAAUCAGGCACAGAGAUCCACAAGGCCAGCUGACUGGACCAAGACAAGCACCAACCCACGCUGAGGACUAGGAGCUGGACUGAGGUAAG
Long non-coding RNA from Tupaia belangeri chinensis (Chinese tree shrew), 359 nucleotides. RefSeq lists it as uncharacterized. The transcript is spliced from 3 exons. NCBI's taxonomy places the organism in Eukaryota, Metazoa, Chordata, Mammalia, Scandentia, Tupaiidae. The record is from RefSeq and is a predicted model, not a curated record.